This 610-nucleotide ribosomal RNA is filed under the name uncultured bacterium. RNAcentral describes it as "bacterial SSU rRNA". It matches the Rfam family "Bacterial small subunit ribosomal RNA", at positions 34 to 677 of the family's 1533-position model. The record is from RNAcentral.
CGCUGGCGGCGUGCCAACACAUGCAAGUCGAACGAGAAAGUGGAGCAAUCCAUGAGUACAGUGGCGUACGGGUGAGUAACACGUGACUAACCUACCCUCGAGUGGGGAAUAACUUCGGGAAACCGAGGCUAAUACCGCAUAACAUCGACGGAUCAAAUGCGCAAGCAGCUUGAGGAGGGGGUCGCGGCUGAUUAGCUAGUUGGCGGGGUGACGGCCCACCAAGGCAAUGAUCAGUAGCCGGCCUGAGAGGGCGCACGGCCACACUGGAACUGAAACACGGUCCAGACUCCUACGGGAGGCAGCAGUGGGGAAUUUUGCGCAAUGGGGGAAACCCUGACGCAGCAACGCCGCGUGGAGGAUGAAGCCCCUUGGGGUGUAAACUCCUUUCGAUCGGGACGAUUAUGACGGUACCGGAUGAAGAAGCACCGGCUAACUCUGUGCCAGCAGCCGCGGUAAUACAGAGGGUGCAAGCGUNGUUCGGAAUUAUUGGGCGUAAAGGGUGCGUAGGCGGUGCGGUAAGUCUUCUGUGAAACCUCCGGGCUUAACUCGGAGCCUGCAGGGGAAACUGCCGUGCUGGAGUAUGGGAGAGGUGAGUGGAAUUCCCGGUGUA